GCGGCGGAGGGGUGAGUAACACGUGGGCAACCUGCCCUGCGAACUGGGAUAACUUCGGGAAACCGGAGCUAAUACCGGAUGACACCGAAAACCGCAUGGUUUUCGGUUGAAAGGCGGCUUUUAGCUGUCACUGCAGGAUGGGCCCGCGGCGCAUUAGCUAGUUGGUGAGGUAACGGCUCACCAAGGCGACGAUGCGUAGCCGACCUGAGAGGGUGACCGGCCACACUGGGACUGAGACACGGCCCAGACUACUACGGGAGGCAGCAGUAGGGAAUCUUCCGCAAUGGACGAAAGUCUGACGGAGCAACGCCGCGUGAGCGAAGAAGGUCUUCGGAUCGUAAAGCUCUGUUGUCAGGGAAGAACAAGUGCCGUUCGAACAGGGCGGUACCUUGACGGUACCUGACGAGGAAGCCACGGCUAACUACGUGCCAGCAGCCGCGGUAAUAC
RNAcentral lists this ribosomal RNA (447 nucleotides) under Aeribacillus sp. F05M388. RNAcentral's name for it is "bacterial SSU rRNA". It matches the Rfam family "Bacterial small subunit ribosomal RNA", at positions 95 to 526 of the family's 1533-position model. The record is from RNAcentral. Lineage: Bacteria; Bacillati; Bacillota; Bacilli; Caryophanales; Bacillaceae.